ACAACUUUUAACAACAGAUCUCUUAGUUCUAGCAUUAAUAAAGAACGCAGCGAAAUGCGAUAAGUAGUGUAAAUUAUAGAAUUUAGUAAAUUAUUAAAUCUUUAAACGCAUAUUGCGCCCCUUAGUAUUCUAUAGGGCAUGCCUGUUUAAGCGUUAUUUGUACCCUUAAGCUCUGCUUAGUGUUAGGUGUUUGUUCUACUUAGGACUUGCCUUAAAACAAUUAGUAGCUAGCACAUUAGCCUAGAGCGCAGCACAUUUUGCGCCUCUUGUUAUAGUUGUUAGCAUCUAUUAAGACACUUUUUAAGCUCUUAACCUUAGAUUAGGUAGGGAUACCCGCUAAACUUAAGCAUAUUAAUAAGCGGAGGAAAAGAAACUAAUAGGGAUUGCCCUAGUAACGGCAAGUAAAGCGGCAACAGCUUAAAUUUAAAAUCUAGCUCUUUUAGGGUCUAAGUUGUAAUUUGCAGAGGGCGCUUUAGCGUUAGUAGCAGUCUAAGUUCCUUAGAACAGGACGUCACAGAGGGUAAGAAUCCUGUACGUAGUUACUAGCCUUCGCUGUGUAAAGCCCCUUUAACAAGUUAAGUUAUUUAGGAAUGUAGCUCUAAAUAGGAGGUAAAUUUCUUCUAAAGCUAAAUACUAGCUAGAGACUAAUAGCGCAUAAGUAGAGUAAUUAAAAGAUAAAAAGCACUUUAGAAAGAGAGUUAAAUAGCACGUAAAAUUAUUAAAAGGGAAGCGCUUGCAGCUAGACUUGCCUAUAGUUACUUAUCUAGGCUUUUGUCUAGUGCACUCUUCUAUAGGCAGGCUAGUAUUAGUUUAGGCAGUUAGAUAAAGGUCUCUAUUACGUACCUCCCUUUAGGGAGGCCUUAUAGGGGAGACAACAUGCAACUAGCCUAGACUAAGGUCCGCGUAUCUGCUAGGAUGCUAGCGUAAUAGCUGUAAGUGGCCUAUCUUAAAACACAGACUAAGGAGUCUAACAUCUAUGCGAGUGUUUAGGUGUUAAGCCUAGACGCGUAAUAAAAGUAAAUAGAGGUGGGACCCCUUUUAGGGUGCACUAUUAACUAAUCCUAAUAUCUUUAGAAGGAUUUAAGUAAGAGCAUAGCUAUUAGGACCUAAAAGAUAGUGAACUAUGCUUAAAUAGGGUAAAGCUAGAGGAAACUCUAGUAGAGGCUCGCAGUGGUUCUAACGUGCAAAUCAAUCGUUAAAUUUAGGUAUAGGGGCGAAAGACUAAUCAAACUAUCUAGUAGCUAGUUCCUACUAAAGUUUCCCUUAGGAUAGCAGUAACGUAUUUAGUUUUAUAAGGUAAAGCGAAUAAUUAGAGGCCUAGGGGUUAAAAUAACCUUUACCUAUUCUUAAACUUUAAAUAUAUAAGAAGUCCUUGUUACUUAAUUAAACGUAGAUACUUAAAUAUACUAUUACUAGUAGGCCAUUUUUAGUAAGUAGAACUAGCGAUAUAGGAUAAACUAAACAUAGGGUUAAGGUGCUAGAAUGCACGCUUAUUAGACACUACAAAAGGUGUUAGUUUAUCUAGAUAGUAGGACAGUAGCUAUAGAAGUUAGAAUCUGCUAAGGAGUGUGUAAUAACUUACCUGCUAAAUAAACUAGCCCUAAAAAUAGAUGGCGCUUAAGCGUGUUACCUAUACCCCGCCGCUAGGGCAAGAUUUAAGCCCUAGCGAGUAGGUAGGCGUAGAGGCUCGUGACAAAGCCUUAGGGGUAACCCUAGGUAGAACGGCCUCUAGUGCAGAUCUUAGUAGUAGUAGCAAAUACUUAAAUAAGAACUUUAAGGACUAAAGUAGGGAAAGGUUCUGUGUAAACAGCAGUUAGACACAGGUUAGUUAAUCCUAAGAGAUAGGGUAAUUCUAUUUUAAUGUUGGCGCUUGCGCCGCGUCCUUAAAAGGGAAGCUAGUUAAUAUUCUAGCACCUAGAUGUAGAUUCUCCGCAGCAACGCAACUAAGAGCAGAGACCUUAGCGGGAGCCCUAAGAAGAGUUCUCUUUUCUUCUUAACAGUCUGUCACCCUAAAAUUAGUUUGUCUAGAGCUAGGGUUUAAUAGCUAGAAAAGCGCUGCACUUUUAUAGUAUUUAGUGCGCUCCUAACAAGCCUUAAAAAUCUGCUUAAAGAAAUAGUUUUUACGCUAGGUCGUACUUAUAACUACAGCAGGUCUCUAAGGUAAAAAGCCUCUAGUUAAUAGAACAAUAUAGAUAAGGGAAGUUAGCAAAAUAGAUCUAUAACUUUAGGAAAAGGAUUAGCUCUAAGGGUUAGGUACGUUAGGCCUUAGGGAGAAGCCUCUAGCGCAGAAGGGCACUAACUGCAAGGUAGGCGCCUCUUAGCGCUAGGGUGCAGACACCCUUAGCAGGUUUUGGCUGUCUAGCGUACGUUUAACAACUAACUUAGAACUAGUAUAGAUAAGAGGAAUCUAACUAUCUAAUUAAAAUAUAGCAUUGUAAUAGCUAGAAAGUAGUGUUAACGUAAUGUGAUUUCUGCCUAGUACUCUAAAUAUUAAAGCAAAGAGAUUUGACUAAGCGCGGGUAAAUAGCAGGAGUAACUAUAACUCUCUUAAGGUAGCUAAAUGCCUUGUUAUCUAAUUAGUAACGCGCAUAAAUAGAUUAACAAGAUUCCUACUAUCCCUAUCUACUAUCUAGCGAAACUACAGCUAAGGGAACAGGCUUGGCUAAAUUAGCAGGGAAAGAAGACCCUAUUAAGCUUAACUCUAGUUUAACAUUAUAAAAAGAUAUAGGGGGUGUAGAAUAGGUAGGAGCUUUAGCGCUAGUAAAAUACUACUACCCUUAUCGUUUUUUUACUUAUUCAAUAAAGCAGAGCUAGGCCUCACCGCCUAACUUCUAGCGUUUAAGGUCCUUUAUAGGCUAAUCUAGGUUAAAGACAUUGUUAGGUAGGGAGUUUAGCUAGGGUAGCACAUCUAUUAAACUAUAACGCAGGUGUCCUAAGGGGGACUUAUAGAGAAUAGAAAUCUCUAGUAGAGCAAAAGGGUAAAAGUCCCCUUAAUUUUAAUUUUUAGUGUAAAUACAAACUAUAAAAGUGUAGCCUAUUAAUCCUUUAGUCCCUUAAAAUUUAAGGCUAGAGGUGCUAGAAAAGUUACCACAGGGAUAACUAGCUUGUGGCAGCCAAGCGUUUAUAGCGACGUUGCUUUUUAAUCCUUUAAUAUUAGCUCUUCCUAUUAUACCAAAGUAGAAUUUAGUAAGCGUUAGAUUGUUCACCUACUAAUAGGGAACGUAAGCUAGGUUUAGACCGUCGUAAGAUAGGUUAGUUUUACCCUACUAAUAACCUUGCCCUAAUAGUAAUACCGCUUAGUACAAGAGGAACCGCAGUUUUAGAUAAUUGGUUUUUGCGGCUGUCUAACUAGGCAUUACCGCGAAGCUACUAUCUGCUAGAUUAUAGCUAAACGCCUCUAAGUCAGAAUCCAUACUAGAAUAGGGUAAUUUCCGCCUGCACUAGUUAGAUACAAAUAGGCCUUUGGCCUAGAACCUUACUAGAUUAGCGUUAGCAGCCCUAUUAAAGUUAGAGUUAUUAGCUAGUAUAUUGCAAUUGUAUAGUGCGCAGGAU
Molecule: ribosomal RNA, 3552 nt
Filed under: Plenodomus lingam (blackleg of rapeseed fungus)
Lineage: Eukaryota; Fungi; Ascomycota; Dothideomycetes; Pleosporales; Leptosphaeriaceae
Description: eukaryotic LSU rRNA
Rfam family: Eukaryotic large subunit ribosomal RNA
Source: RNAcentral